RNAcentral lists this ribosomal RNA (1343 nucleotides) under uncultured bacterium. RNAcentral's name for it is "16S ribosomal RNA". It matches the Rfam family "Bacterial small subunit ribosomal RNA", at positions 28 to 1378 of the family's 1533-position model. The record is from RNAcentral.
GACGAACGCUGGCGGCGUGCUUAACACAUGCAAGUCGAACGGAAAGGCCCUGCUUUUGUGGGGUGCUCGAGUGGCGAACGGGUGAGUAACACGUGAGUAACCUGCCCUUGACUUUGGGAUAACUUCAGGAAACUGGGGCUAAUACCGGAUAGGAGCUCCUGCUGCAUGGUGGGGGUUGGAAAGUUUCGGCGGUUGGGGAUGGACUCGCGGCUUAUCAGCUUGUUGGUGGGGUAGUGGCUUACCAAGGCUUUGACGGGUAGCCGGCCUGAGAGGGUGACCGGCCACAUUGGGACUGAGAUACGGCCCAGACUCCUACGGGAGGCAGCAGUGGGGAAUAUUGCACAAUGGGCGGAAGCCUGAUGCAGCAACGCCGCGUGCGGGAUGACGGCCUUCGGGUUGUAAACCGCUUUCGCCUGUGACGAAGCGUGAGUGACAGUAAUGGGUAAAGAAGCACCGGCUAACUACGUGCCAGCAGCCGCGGUGAUACGUAGGGUGCGAGCGUUGUCCGGAUUUAUUGGGCGUAAAGGGCUCGUAGGUGGUUGAUCGCGUCGGAAGUGUAAUCUUGGGGCUUAACCCUGAGCGUGCUUUCGAUACGGGUUGACUUGAGGAAGGUAGGGGAGAAUGGAAUUCCUGGUGGAGCGGUGGAAUGCGCAGAUAUCAGGAGGAACACCAGUGGCGAAGGCGGUUCUCUGGGCCUUUCCUGACGCUGAGGAGCGAAAGCGUGGGGAGCGAACAGGCUUAGAUACCCUGGUAGUCCACGCUGUAAACGGUGGGUACUAGGUGUGGGGUCCAUUCCACGGGUUCCGUGCCGUAGCUAACGCUUUAAGUACCCCGCCUGGGGAGUACGGCCGCAAGGCUAAAACUCAAAGGAAUUGGCGGGGCCCCGCACAAGCGGCGGAGCAUGCGGAUUAAUUCGAUGCAACGCGUAGAACCUUACCUGGGUUUGACAUGGAUCGGGAGUGCUCAGAGAUGGGUGUGCCUCUUUUGGGGUCGGUUCACAGGUGGUGCAUGGCUGUCGUCAGCUCGUGUCGUGAGAUGUUGGGUUAAGUCCCGCAACGAGCGCAACCCUUGUUCACUGUUGCCAGCACGUUAUGGUGGGGACUCAGUGGAGACCGCCGGGGUCAACUCGGAGGAAGGUGGGGAUGACGUCAAGUCAUCAUGCCCCUUAUGUCCAGGGCUUCACGCAUGCUACAAUGGCUGGUACAGAGAGUGGCGAGCCUGUGAGGGUGAGCGAAUCUCGGAAAGCCGGUCUCAGUUCGGAUUGGGGUCUGCAACUCGACCUCAUGAAGUCGGAGUCGCUAGUAAUCGCAGAUCAGCAACGCUGCGGUGAAUACGUUCCCGGG